CCUAAGUGCGACCAUAAAUUUCCGCGCUAAAUUUUGAUCGUCCGUCUUAUUUGAAAUUUUUUUUAUAAUUAAUAUUUUUAUUGUUAUAAGAUGAUAAAACAUGAAUAGUAUUUUAUGUUUUCAAUUUUUUUUAAAUUUUUUUUAAAUAAGAUGGACGGUUAAGAUUAGAUACGGAAAACCAUAGCUACACUUAAA
Non-coding RNA from Oryza glumipatula, 195 nucleotides. The record is from Rfam. Lineage: Eukaryota; Viridiplantae; Streptophyta; Magnoliopsida; Poales; Poaceae.